CAUAUUAAAGUUUAAUUUUGAAUUCUUCUUUUACACUGAUGAGGUCUCCGUAAGGGGUAGUAUGA
RNAcentral lists this transfer RNA (65 nucleotides) under Asiomorpha coarctata. Its description in RNAcentral is "tRNA-Val". Lineage: Eukaryota; Metazoa; Arthropoda; Diplopoda; Polydesmida; Paradoxosomatidae. The record is from RNAcentral.